CGAAUGCUGACAUAAGUAACGAUAAAGCGGGUGAAAAGCCCGCUCGCCGGAAGACCAAGGGUUCCUGUCCAACGUUAAUCGGGGCAGGGUGAGUCGACCCCUAAGGCGAGGCCGAAAGGCGUAGUCGAUGGGAAACAGGUUAAUAUUCCUGUACUUGGUGUUACUGCGAAGGGGGGACGGAGAAGGCUAUGUUGGCCGGGCGACGGUUGUCCCGGUUUAAGCGUGUAGGCUGGUUUUCCAGGCAAAUCCGGAAAAUCAAGGCUGAGGCGUGAUGACGAGGCACUACGGUGCUGAAGCAACAAAUGCCCUGCUUCCAGGAAAAGCCUCUAAGCAUCAGGUAACAUCAAAUCGUACCCCAAACCGACACAGGUGGUCAGGUAGAGAAUACCAAGGCGCUUGAGAGAACUCGGGUGAAGGAACUAGGCAAAAUGGUGCCGUAACUUCGGGAGAAGGCACGCUGAUAUGUAGGUGAAGCGACUUGCUCGUGGAGCUGAAAUCAGUCGAAGAUACCAGCUGGCUGCAACUGUUUAUUAAAAACACAGCACUGUGCAAACACGAAAGUGGACGUAUACGGUGUGACGCCUGCCCGGUGCCGGAAGGUUAAUUGAUGGGGUCAGCGCAAGCGAAGCUCUUGAUCGAAGCCCCGGUAAACGGCGGCCGUAACUAUAACGGUCCUAAGGUAGCGAAAUUCCUUGUCGGGUAAGUUCCGACCUGCACGAAUGGCGUAAUGAUGGCCAGGCUGUCUCCACCCGAGACUCAGUGAAAUUGAACUCGCUGUGAAGAUGCAGUGUACCCGCGGCAAGACGGAAAGACCCCGUGAACCUUUACUAUAGCUUGACACUGAACAUUGAGCCUUGAUGUGUAGGAUAGGUGGGAGGCUUUGAAGUGUGGACGCCAGUCUGCAUGGAGCCGACCUUGAAAUACCACCCUUUAAUGUUUGAUGUUCUAACGUUGACCCGUAAUCCGGGUUGCGGACAGUGUCUGGUGGGUAGUUUGACUGGGGCGGUCUCCUCCUAAAGAGUAACGGAGGAGCACGAAGGUUGGCUAAUCCUGGUCGGACAUCAGGAGGUUAGUGCAAUGGCAUAAGCCAGCUUGACUGCGAGCGUGACGGCGCGAGCAGGUGCGAAAGCAGGUCAUAGUGAUCCGGUGGUUCUGAAUGGAAGGGCCAUCGCUCAACGGAUAAAAGGUACUCCGGGGAUAACAGGCUGAUACCGCCCAAGAGUUCAUAUCGACGGCGGUGUUUGGCACCUCGAUGUCGGCUCAUCACAUCCUGGGGCUGAAGUAGGUCCCAAGGGUAUGGCUGUUCGCCAUUUAAAGUGGUACGCGAGCUGGGUUUAGAACGUCGUGAGACAGUUCGGUCCCUAUCUGCCGUGGGCGCUGGAGAACUGAGGGGGGCUGCUCCUAGUACGAGAGGACCGGAGUGGACGCAUCACUGGUGUUCGGGUUGUCAUGCCAAUGGCACUGCCCGGUAGCUAAAUGCGGAAGAGAUAAGUGCUGAAAGCAUCUAAGCACGAAACUUGCCCCGAGAUGAGUUCUCCCUGACUCCUUGAGAGUCCUGAAGGAACGUUGAAGACGACGACGUUGAUAGGCCGGGUGUGUAAGCGCAGCGAUGCGUUGAGCUAACCGGUACUAAUGAACCGUGAG
Molecule: ribosomal RNA, 1644 nt
Filed under: Escherichia coli
Lineage: Bacteria; Pseudomonadati; Pseudomonadota; Gammaproteobacteria; Enterobacterales; Enterobacteriaceae
Description: partial 23S ribosomal RNA
Rfam family: Bacterial large subunit ribosomal RNA
Source: RNAcentral